GUUUUAAGUUCUUUGUUAAUAUGUCAACAAGGAAGAAAAGAGUCCAAAUGUUAGCAGAGCUACAACCUGAAUCAUAACAGAAGAGUCUUCAAUUCAAGUACAGGAAAUCAUUCCAUGAACUACUAUGUUGGGUCUGAAGCCAAAGUGGUGUUCAUCAAGGUGCGUACGAUAUCACCUUAUAAGGAGAAUAUCCUGACGCUCUCUUGAUCGUAUCACUGGUAUUGCUUUUGCUGCAGUUCACAACCAGACCAUAGGAUAUCUUGAAAGACUUUAUCAGCAAAAGGAAUGAUUGUUCUGAAAACUAUAUGUAGUGAUUCCGCAAAUUAAUUUACAAAUCAUUAUUCUAAGUAAGAUUUCUAGAGAGAAUAACAAUAAAUUCUUUUGAAAGAAUUUUGAAAAUUUAGAUAUUAAUCAACUAAUAAAAAAGCAGAAAAUGUUAAAAACGCUCAGCUGCCCAGACAGCAUCUGUGAAAAGGGAUACAAAGAUGACAUUUCACAUCAAAAACACUUCAUCAUAUAAAUCUGCUUAUUUUAAUUUGUUAAGGAAGGUUAGAUUAGACAAGGAAUAAUAGAG
Molecule: long non-coding RNA, 574 nt
Organism: Mobula hypostoma (lesser devil ray)
Lineage: Eukaryota; Metazoa; Chordata; Chondrichthyes; Myliobatiformes; Myliobatidae
Exons: 3
Source: RefSeq, a predicted model, not a curated record